GAUGAAGAACGCAGCGAAAUGCGAUAAGUAAUGUGAAUUGCAGAAUUCAGUGAAUCAUCGAAUCUUUGAACGCACAUUGCGCCCGCCAGUAUUCUGGCGGGCAUGCCUGUUCGAGCGUCAUUUCAACCAUCAAGCCCCCGGCUUGUGUUGGGGACCUGCGGCUGCCCGCAGGCCCUGAAAACCAGCGGCGGUCUCGCUGUCACACCGAGCGUAGUAAGCAUUAUCUCGCUCAGGGCGUGCUGCGGGUUCCGGCCGUUAAAUGAAAAGCCUUCGUAGCCCAAGGUUGACCUCGGAUCAGGUAGGAAGACCCGCUGAACUUAAGCAUAUCAAUAAGCGGAGGA
RNAcentral lists this unclassified non-coding RNA (341 nucleotides) under soil metagenome. RNAcentral describes it as "partial contains 5.8S ribosomal RNA, internal transcribed spacer 2, and large subunit ribosomal RNA". The stretch from base 1 to 120 matches the Rfam family "5.8S ribosomal RNA", at positions 35 to 154 of the family's 154-position model. The record is from RNAcentral.